UACGAAGGGUGCAAGCGUUACUCGGAAUUACUGGGCGUAAAGCGUGCGUAGGUGGUUCGUUAAGUCUGCCGUGAAAGCCCCGGGCUCAACCUGGGAAUGGCGAUGGAUACUGGCGGGCUAGAGUGCGGUAGAGGAGAGUGGAAUUCCCGGUGUAGCAGUGAAAUGCGUAGAGAUCGGGAGGAACAUCAGUUGCGAAGGCGGCUCUCUGGACCAGCACUGACACUGAGGCACGAAAGCGUGGGGAGCAAACAGG
Molecule: ribosomal RNA, 253 nt
Filed under: uncultured bacterium
Lineage: Bacteria
Description: partial 16S ribosomal RNA
Rfam family: Bacterial small subunit ribosomal RNA
Source: RNAcentral